UAUCGAACGCAGCCAAACAAGCCCGUGCCACGGGUCAGAUAAGCUUUUCUCUCCCCUUCGCAGCUGCAACCGCUCGCCGCGUGCUCCCUUUGUACUGAACCGCAUCCUCCCCGCGCCGACCUGCUCCGGCGAGUUAAACAUGGCCGUCCUCCUCCGCAGCACCUCCGCCGCCGCCUCGACUGCUGGCCCCUCCUCGGCGCUGCUCGCCACCACCUUCCGCCGCUCCCGCGGCUGCCUUCUGCCCCGUGCCGCGCCGCAGCGCCGCUUGUAUGUGGCCCGCGCCUCGGCCCAGCCCCUCGAGGUCUGCGCUAAGGAGUCCAUCACCAUCCCUGGCCGCCUCGGAGACUGUCCUUUCACACAGAGGGUUUUGUUGACUAUAGAGGAGAAGCAUCUGCCUUAUGAUCUGAAGCUAGUUGAUCUAGCUAAUAAGCCAGAUUGGUUAUUUGAAAUCAACCCAGAAGGUAAAGUGCCUAUCGUGAAGCUCGAGGAAAAAUGGAUUGGUGAUUCUGAUGUUAUAACACAAGCAUUAGAGGAGAAAUACCCUGAACCACCCUUGGCAACUCCACCAGAAAAAGCUUCAGUUGGAUCAAAAAUAUUUUCCACUUUCAUUGGUUUCCUCAAAAGCAAAGAUCCAAGCGAUGGAACAGAAGAGGCACUACUUAAUGAGCUUACUUCAUUUGAUAGUUAUCUAAAAGACAAUGUUCACUGGUGCAGAGACCCCGACCAAAGAGGCCUCCAUCGAGCGGGCCCGGCAUUGAGGGGCCGCGCCAGGCGGCAACGGAACGACAAAGACUUCGCUACAUCCCGGGAGCGAAGUCCUUGUCACCCUUGGCGACGCAUCGAAAGGGGAGCCCUUGCUAAACCUCCGUUCAGCCCAGCCGGCCAAAGGGCAUCUGGGGACUCCAUCAUACUCCGGAGGCGACUCUUUCCCUACCCCUUGUCUAGCCGUUGACUGAUAGGAAGCUCGCACAAAGACUCUUGAGGACACCGUCAGCAGUUAUGCUUCGUAGGCCCACCUGUCGGCGUAACGCGCGAGUGUGUAAAUUAGUGUGUGCCGUCUGCUGCAUGGAUGGCGCUGUAAUUACUCUGUUACAUGGAAUAUUCUUUGGAUAUAGUUGGUAGAUAGGGGUAGGGUCGUACUUUGGACCACCUUCCCCCGGACGGGCCUAUAAAUACGCCCGUCCUAUAGCCAAAUAAGACACGCACAACGAGAAGCUAUCAUUCCCACCAACCGUCGUGUUACCCUCUCAUGCUCUGCUUUUUGUCACUGAGUGUUUGGGUCCACAUGACGGCGCGUCAGUGCCCAACAAUCAUCCUUGUCGAGAGCUUAUGGUUGUCACCUCGAAGCAACAGGUGUGCCAUCAGGCAGUGUAGUGAGAUCAGCCCCCCUCAACAGCUCCUCUAGUUUGUGUAGUUCCUCUAACACCCGUGGCUAGAACUGGUGUAGGAGACAGUGUGGUACUGUUCCUAUUUACUCUAACAACCCUCUGCAGUUACAAUGGCAGCACUGCAGGCGGUGAGACUAGAGAAGAAGCUGACAGGCUAAUAUCCCCCUGUGGUCAUAAUGGGUGAUGCACUGCAUAUACUAUUAGUCAUCUAAAAUGUAGUUUUAUCCUACAAUGAUUCCAAAAGUCGCCUUUUUGCUCAUAUCAAACUACUUAGUUUUAAUAAACCAAAUGUCCAUAUGGAAAAUUCAAACUUUCAAGACCCUUGGUUUGUUUAAUAUAACAUGAGCGCUUCUCAAAUACAGAAUAUGGCGAUUUAUCAUUUGCCUUGCAUCAACAAUGACAAAUGGAAACCUUGAGUUCUGUUCAAACUUAUACAAACUUGAUUCAAGUUUUAUAUCAGCUAAGAUGAAUUAGUUGUGAUAUCUUAAUUUACAUUCAAUCCAUAUGAAAGAUGAUGUCAACUUCACAUGAACCUUUAUAGUUAUAUGAUAUCUUAACUUAUAUUUGGUAACUAAGUAUUCGUUUUUCUGUGGUUUAUCUCAAAUUUGCCGUGUAAUUCUGAGACACUGGUGCAGGGUCCAUUUAUUAAUGGUGGAAUAAUUUCUGCUGCUGAUCUCUCUCUGGGUCCUAAACUAUAUCACAUGGAGAUAACUCUGGGCCACUACAAGAAUUGGUCUGUUCCAGAUUCACUUUCUUAUGUAAAAACAUAUAUGAAGUCGAUUUUCUCAAUGGAUUCUUUUGUCAAAACUCAAGCUCUGACAGAGGAUGUAAUUGCUGGAUGGCGCCCAAAAGUCAUGGGUUAAAUUCAUUUCUAAAGUUAGACGUUAAGGAGAGGGAGAGAGGUGUCGAUUGGCGAAUGGAGGGUCUAGAUGCAAAGGUUUGUCGCAUGGCUGUAAUAUGUACAUGAAAUGUGGUGGAUUUUGUUAGGAAUUUUCUAGGGCAUAGCAUAUCUGGUAUUCAUAUCCAAUCUCCUUUGCUUUGUAUGUCAAAUGGAAAACUCCUUCGAGACUCAGGUUUAAUUUCUUUAGUGGCAAAUUUUUUGGAUUGGUUAAAAAAAUCUCUCAUUGUGUCUCAUCCACUUUCGGGUUACAAUGUCAUAUAUGUUACUCUU
RNA transcript from Zea mays, 2559 nucleotides. It is a transcript of the gene named glutathione dehydroascorbate reductase4, with no coding region annotated. The record is from RefSeq and is marked validated. Lineage: Eukaryota; Viridiplantae; Streptophyta; Magnoliopsida; Poales; Poaceae. The transcript has 7 exons.